AACAAGGAUUUCAGAAACAAAUACCUUUUGCUUUAAGUGUUUUUCUUGUGGUCUUUUUACCACUGAAAAUUUUGUUAUUUUUUAAACACUUUUUCCCCCCUCCAUGGUUAUUAUCCUCUCUUUUAUUUUUUAAAAUUUUUUAAUUAAUUAAUUUUUUAAAUUUAGUUAUUUUUCAAGUACAGUUUUUUGUCUAUUUCUCCCAUCCAAGCCCACCCCCGUCCCACGCUCCCCACCUCUCCCCCCUCCCCACCCCACAGCCCUCAUCCCUGCAUCCCUUACACUUCUUCCCCCAAAUCCCUCCCCCCUUCCCCCUUAAAGGAAUUUAAACACUUUUUUAAAGAUUUUAUUUAUUUUUAAAAAUUAAAAUUUUUUCGAGAGGAGAGGAGGGAGAAAGUGAAGGAAAGAAAUAUCAAUGUGUGAGAGAAAUAUCAAAUGAUUGCCUCUUGCAGACCCUCAACAGGGGGCCUGACCUGGCCCACAACCCAGGCGUGUGGCCUGGCGGGGAACUGAACCAGCAACCUUUUGGUUCUCAGGCCAGUGCUCAAUCCACUGAGCCACACCAGCCAGAGCACCACUGAACACUUUUGAAGAUUAAAGAUUGACUUACCUAUGAGUUAUUUUCAAAAUCUUUGACAUCAUGAUAUUUUUAAAAUAAACUGAAAGGCAAUAUGUUGGUAUUGAAAAUAUGGUAAAUACAUGAUCUAUGAUUAGUGAUUAGUUUAUAAUAUUUAAUUUGAAUUGGUAUGUAAAGAGAUUAUAGAUGAACAAAAAGGGACUAUAGGAAAAAAAUCUAGUAUUACACAUGCAAUUUGAAACUGUGGAAGUGUCGCCAGUUCAAUUCUCAGGGCACAUGCCUGGGUUGCAGGCCCAGUCCCCAGUAUGGGUUGCAUGAGAGGCAACCACACAUUGAUGUUUCUCUCCUCUCUGUCUCCUCUUCACCUCUCUCUGAAAAUGAAUAAGUAAAAUCUUAAAAAAAAGUAAUUAUGGAAAUGGAGACCAGAGAGAAUAAGGGGCAAAUUGGAGACAGGUUUUGUGGUUUGAAUGAGCUCUUUUGACUUGUCAAAGACUUAAAUUCAACUCUGACAUUUAUUAAACAUUUGCAGGGUAUCUACUGUGUGUCAAGUAUGAUAUUAAGUUCUAGGACUACAAAGAGAAAUCCAAUUAAAGUCGUGGCCUCAAGAAGCUAACCAUGUAAUAAAAGACCCAGCAAUUCUAUAUCCCAGGAAUUUAUCCUCAAGAUACACCAGCAUGAAUUUGCAAAGACAUAUGGACCACCACCUGGUGGCCCAUGGAGAAUGGCCCGUGUCGUAAGGAGAGACCUACCAGCAACAUGGGAGUGAACUGAGACCUUUGGCCUCAAUUGAACUGAGAUGACUGAAGCCUCAGCCCACAGCUUAACUGCAACCUCAUACAUUUCUGAAUUCCUUACACACAGAAACUAACAUGAUAAAUGUUGAUUUUAGUCGCUAAGUUUUGGGUUAUUUUGUUCUGCAAUAAGAGGUAACUAAUAUGUUGUGAUUAUAACCUAACAAAAGUACAUGACGGCUGCCCACAUCCGAUGACUAGUCCAUGUCCAAGUAUUCAGGCCAUCUAGACUUAAUGGGGGACCAUUCUGAGGCUGUCACUGAGUGCAUUGCAGCCCAACUUUCCCCUCUGCCCAUUCCUGCUUCCUUCCCCUCCUUUUAGGUAGUGACCCCUGGGGAACUCCUUAAUAAAUAUUCUGAACUUUAAACUCUGCUGAGUCUGUUACCUGGGAACUCUAAUCUGUGACAGCCAACUGCAGUGUCUAUGGAUCCGAGGU
This is a long non-coding RNA of Artibeus jamaicensis (Jamaican fruit-eating bat), 1801 nucleotides long. RefSeq lists it as uncharacterized. The record is from RefSeq and is a predicted model, not a curated record. Lineage: Eukaryota; Metazoa; Chordata; Mammalia; Chiroptera; Phyllostomidae. The transcript is spliced from 3 exons.